This 495-nucleotide ribosomal RNA is filed under the name uncultured bacterium. RNAcentral's name for it is "partial 16S ribosomal RNA". It matches the Rfam family "Bacterial small subunit ribosomal RNA", at positions 28 to 507 of the family's 1533-position model. The record is from RNAcentral.
GAUGAACGCCGGCGGCGUGCCUAAUACAUGCAAGUAGAACGCUGAAGGAGGAGCUUGCUCUUCUGGAUGAGUUGCGAACGGGUGAGUAACGCGUAGGUAACCUGCCUGGUAGCGGGGGAUAACUAUUGGAAACGAUAGCUAAUACCGCAUGACAACAGUUAUUGCAUGAUAACUGUUUAAAAGGGGCAACUGCUCCACUACCAGAUGGACCUGCGUUGUAUUAGCUAGUUCGUGAGGUAACGGCUCACCAAGGCGACGAUACAUAGCCGACCUGAGAGGGUGAUCGGCCACACUGGGACUGAGACACGGCCCAGACUCCUACGGGAGGCAGCAGUAGGGAAUCUUCGGCAAUGGACGGAAGGCUGACCGAGCAACGCCGCGGGAGUGAAGAAGGUUUUCGGAUCGUAAAGCUCUGUUGUAAGAGAAGAACGAGGGUGAGAGUGGAAAGUUCACACUGUGACGGUAUCUUACCAGAAAGGGACGGCUAACUACGUG